CGGGAACUGGCCUAAUGGUAAGGCGUCUGGUUUGGGACCAGAAGAUUGGCGGUUCGAGUCCGCCGUUCCCGA
This 72-nucleotide transfer RNA is filed under the name Minisyncoccota bacterium. RNAcentral describes it as "tRNA-Pro". It matches the Rfam family "tRNA". From Rfam's summary of the family: Transfer RNA (tRNA) molecules are approximately 80 nucleotides in length. Their secondary structure includes four short double-helical elements and three loops (D, anti-codon, and T loops). Further hydrogen bonds mediate the characteristic L-shaped molecular structure. tRNAs have two regions of fundamental functional importance: the anti-codon, which is responsible for specific mRNA codon recognition, and the 3' end, to which the tRNAs corresponding amino acid is attached (by aminoacyl-tRNA synthetases). tRNAs cope with the degeneracy of the genetic code in two manners: having more than one tRNA (with a specific anti-codon) for a particular amino acid; and 'wobble' base-pairing, i.e. permitting non-standard base-pairing at the 3rd anti-codon position. The record is from RNAcentral. Lineage: Bacteria; Bacillati; Minisyncoccota.